GCGGCGAACGGGUGAGUAACAUGUUGGAAUCUGCCUUUAAGUCGGGGAUAGCUCAUCGAAAGAUGGAUUAAUACCGGAUAGUCUCUUCGGAGUAAAGAUUUAUCGCUUAAAGAGGAGCCUGCAUUCUAUCAGCUUGUUGGUGAGGUAAUAGCUCACCAAGGCUAUGACGGAUAACUGGUCUGAGAGGAUGAUCAGUCACAAUGGAACUGAGACAAGGUCCAUACUCC
RNAcentral lists this ribosomal RNA (227 nucleotides) under uncultured bacterium. RNAcentral's name for it is "partial 16S ribosomal RNA". It matches the Rfam family "Bacterial small subunit ribosomal RNA", at positions 95 to 339 of the family's 1533-position model. The record is from RNAcentral.